UCACUCUGGUUUCUAAUCAAUACUCCGGAUAAAUCUUUCGCCUUUUACUAAAGAUUUCCGUGGUUAGGAGCACUGAUGAGUCUAUAUGACUUAUUUUUCGAACGCCUGGUCUUUAGACUGGGCA
RNAcentral lists this small nuclear RNA (124 nucleotides) under Daphnia magna. Its description in RNAcentral is "U5 spliceosomal RNA". It matches the Rfam family "U5 spliceosomal RNA". From Rfam's summary of the family: U5 RNA is a component of both types of known spliceosome. Lineage: Eukaryota; Metazoa; Arthropoda; Branchiopoda; Diplostraca; Daphniidae. The record is from RNAcentral.